RNAcentral lists this ribosomal RNA (483 nucleotides) under uncultured bacterium. RNAcentral's name for it is "bacterial SSU rRNA". It matches the Rfam family "Bacterial small subunit ribosomal RNA", at positions 37 to 518 of the family's 1533-position model. The record is from RNAcentral.
UGGCGGCGCGCCUAACCCAUGCAAGUCGAACGGAGUUAUUAAGACAGAAGCCUUCGGGUGGAAGAUUUAGUAACUUAGUGGCGGACGGGUGAGUAACACGUGAGGAACCUGCCUUACAGAGGGGGAUAACGUCUGGAAACGGACGCUAAUACCGCAUGACACCAUCGGGGGGCAUCCCCUGAUGGUCAAAGAUUUAUCGCUGUAAGAUGGCCUCGCGGUCGAUUAGAUAGUUGGCGGGGUAAUGGCCCACCAAGUCGACGAUCGAUAGCCGGACUGAGAGGUUGAUCGGCCACAUUGGGACUGAGACACGGCCCAGACUCCUACGGGAGGCAGCAGUGGGGGAUAUUGCACAAUGGAGGAAACUCUGAUGCCAGCGACGCCGCGUGAGGGAAGAAGGUCUUCGGAUUGUAAACCUCUGUCUUCAGGGACGAUAAUGACGGUACCUGAGGAGGAAGCCACGGCUAACUACGUGCCAGCCGCUGC